This 40-nucleotide ribosomal RNA is filed under the name Trichoderma harzianum. RNAcentral's name for it is "partial 28S ribosomal RNA". Lineage: Eukaryota; Fungi; Ascomycota; Sordariomycetes; Hypocreales; Hypocreaceae. The record is from RNAcentral. RNAcentral also lists the same sequence under 3 other names.
CCUCGGAUCAGGUAGGAAUACCCGCUGAACUUAAGCAUAU